GACGAACGCUGGCGGCGUGCUUAACACAUGCAAGUCGAACGAAGAGCGAUGAAGCUUGCUUCUAUCAAUCUUAGUGCGAACGGGUGAGUAACGCGUAAUCAACUGCCCUUCAGAGGGGGCAACAGUUGGAAACGACUGCUAAUACCGCAUACGAUCUAAUCUCGGCAUCGAGGAUAGAUGAAAGGUGGCCUCUACAUGUAAGCUAUCACUGAAGGAGGGGAUUGCGUCUGAUUAGCUAGUUGGAGGGGUAACGGCCCACCAAGGCGAUGAUCAGUAGCCGGUCUGAGAGGAUGAACGGCCACAUUGGGACUGAGACACGGCCCAGACUCCUACGGGAGGCAGCAGUGGGGAAUCUUCCGCAAUGGACGAAAGUCUGACGGAGCAACGCCGCGUGAGUGAUGACGGCCUUCGGGUUGUAAAGCUCUGUUAAUCGGGACGAAAGGCCUUCUUGCGAACAGUUAGAAGGAUUGACGGUACCGGAAUAGAAAGCCACGGCU
This 497-nucleotide ribosomal RNA is filed under the name Veillonella parvula. RNAcentral describes it as "bacterial SSU rRNA". It matches the Rfam family "Bacterial small subunit ribosomal RNA", at positions 28 to 498 of the family's 1533-position model. The record is from RNAcentral. Lineage: Bacteria; Bacillati; Bacillota; Negativicutes; Veillonellales; Veillonellaceae.